Molecule: long non-coding RNA, 361 nt
Organism: Odontomachus brunneus
Lineage: Eukaryota; Metazoa; Arthropoda; Insecta; Hymenoptera; Formicidae
Exons: 3
Source: RefSeq, a predicted model, not a curated record
UACACACGCCUCCAAGCGUAUUGUUCGCGCGGAUAUAAGAGCAGGAAGGAUGGAUCAAGUUAGUUAGAUAAAGACAAACUAUUAAACGCCAUCCUUAUCUCUGCUUAGUUGUGACAUCGACGCGUCCCCCCUUCCCUCGGCCAGCAGCUUCGCAGCUCUCCGCCAGAUGUCUCUAGUAUGACUCCUGCAGAUCCUUAAGGACUCUGAUUGGUCGCGCACAUCUGCUACUAGCUUUCUGAACGUGAUGAUCGUGUGAAGCGCCACCACUUUGAAACACCGCACAACGAGUUCUGGCGAAUGACUGCGUUCACGACAGCGCUGCGCUGUAGUCAUUGCAGUUGUCGCUUAAUCGAAUGAGGGA